AUUCAGCUGACGAGUCCCAAAUUGAAGGAAACGCGUAUCCGGGAU
This 45-nucleotide non-coding RNA is filed under the name Schistosoma margrebowiei. The record is from RNAcentral. Lineage: Eukaryota; Metazoa; Platyhelminthes; Trematoda; Strigeidida; Schistosomatidae.